This 253-nucleotide ribosomal RNA is filed under the name uncultured bacterium. Its description in RNAcentral is "partial 16S ribosomal RNA". It matches the Rfam family "Bacterial small subunit ribosomal RNA", at positions 524 to 776 of the family's 1533-position model. The record is from RNAcentral.
UACGGGGGGAGCAAGCGUUGUUCGGAAUCACUGGGCUUAAAGGGCGCGUAGGCGGGCUGUCAAGUCUGGGGUGAAAUCCCACGGCUCAACCGUGGAACUGCCUUAGAUACUGACGGCCUCGAGGAAGGUAGGGGCAUGCGGAACUGUAGGUGGAGCGGUGAAAUGCGUUGAUAUCUACAGGAACUCCGGUGGCGAAAGCGGCGUGCUGGACCUUUUCUGACGCUGAGGCGCGAAAGCUAGGGGAGCAAACGGG